GAAGUUGGAGUCGCUAGUAAUCGCAGAUCAGCAACGCUGCGGUGAAUACGUUCCCGGGCCUUGUACACACCGCCCAUCACGUCAUGAAAGUCGGUAACACCCGAAGCCGGUGGCCUAACCCCUCGUGGGAGGGGGCCGUCGAAGGUGGGAUCGGCGAUUGGGACGAAGUCGUAACAAGGUAGCCGUACCGGAAGGUGCGGCUGGAUCACCUCCUUU
This 216-nucleotide ribosomal RNA is filed under the name Nocardia cyriacigeorgica. RNAcentral's name for it is "partial 16S ribosomal RNA". It matches the Rfam family "Bacterial small subunit ribosomal RNA", at positions 1322 to 1533 of the family's 1533-position model. The record is from RNAcentral. Lineage: Bacteria; Bacillati; Actinomycetota; Actinomycetes; Mycobacteriales; Nocardiaceae.